GAAGGUGGCCUGUGAGGGUUGCUGGAGGUAUCAGAAGUGCGAAUGCUGACAUAAGUAACGAUAAAGCGGGUGAAAAGCCCGCUCGCCGGAAGACCAAGGGUUCCUGUCCAACGUUAAUCGGGGCAGGGUGAGUCGACCCCUAAGGCGAGGCCGAAAGGCGUAGUCGAUGGGAAACGGGUUAAUAUUCCCGUACUUGGUGUUACUGCGAAGGGGGGACGGAGAAGGCUAUGUUGGCCGGGCGACGGUUGUCCCGGUUUAAGCGUGUAGGUGUGUGUUCCAGGUAAAUCCGGUUCACUUUAACACUGAGGCGUGAUGACGAGGCACUACGGUGCUGAAGCAACAAAUGCCCUGCUUCCAGGAAAAGCCUCUAAGCAUCAGGUAACAUCAAAUCGUACCCCAAACCGACACAGGUGGUCAGGUAGAGAAUACCAAGGCGCUUGAGAGAACUCGGGUGAAGGAACUAGGCAAAAUGGUGCCGUAACUUCGGGAGAAGGCACGCUGACACGUAGGUGAAGUGAUUUACUCAUGGAGCUGAAGUCAGUCGAAGAUACCAGCUGGCUGCAACUGUUUAUUAAAAACACAGCACUGUGCAAACACGAAAGUGGACGUAUACGGUGUGACGCCUGCCCGGUGCCGGAAGGUUAAUUGAUGGGGUCAGCGCAAGCGAAGCUCCUGAUCGAAGCCCCGGUAAACGGCGGCCGUAACUAUAACGGUCCUAAGGUAGCGAAAUUCCUUGUCGGGUAAGUUCCGACCUGCACGAAUGGCGUAAUGAUGGCCAGGCUGUCUCCACCCGAGACUCAGUGAAAUUGAACUCGCUGUGAAGAUGCAGUGUACCCGCGGCAAGACGGAAAGACCCCGUGAACCUUUACUAUAGCUUGACACUGAACAUUGAGCCUUGAUGUGUAGGAUAGGUGGGAGGCUUUGAAGUGUGGACGCCAGUCUGCAUGGAGCCGGCCUUGAAAUACCACCCUUUAAUGUUUGAUGUUCUAACGUGGACCCGUGAUCCGGGUUGCGGACAGUGUCUGGUGGGUAGUUUGACUGGGGCGGUCUCCUCCUAAAGAGUAACGGAGGAGCACGAAGGUUGGCUAAUCCUGGUCGGACAUCAGGAGGUUAGUGCAAUGGCAUAAGCCAGCUUGACUGCGAGCGUGACGGCGCGAGCAGGUGCGAAAGCAGGUCAUAGUGAUCCGGUGGUUCUGAAUGGAAGGGCCAUCGCUCAACGGAUAAAAGGUACUCCGGGGAUAACAGGCUGAUACCGCCCAAGAGUUCAUAUCGACGGCGGUGUUUGGCACCUCGAUGUCGGCUCAUCACAUCCUGGGGCUGAAGUAGGUCCCAAGGGUAUGGCUGUUCGCCAUUUAAAGUGGUACGCGAGCUGGGUUUAGAACGUCGUGAGACAGUUCGGUCCCUAUCUGCCGUGGGCGCUGGAGAACUGAGGGGGGCUGCUCCUAGUACGAGAGGACCGGAGUGGACGCAUCACUGGUGUUCGGGUUGUCAUGCCAAUGGCACUGCCCGGUAGCUAAAUGCGGAAGAGAUAAGUGCUGAAAGCAUCUAAGCACGAAACUUGCCCCGAGAUGAGUUCUCCCUGAGACUUUAGGUCUCCUGAAGGAACGUUGAAGACGACGACGUUGAUAGGCCGGGUGUGUAAGCGCAGCGAUGCGUUGAGCUAACCGGUACUAAUGAACCGUGAGGCUUAACCUUACAACGCCGAAG
Molecule: ribosomal RNA, 1707 nt
Filed under: Salmonella enterica subsp. enterica serovar Javiana
Lineage: Bacteria; Pseudomonadati; Pseudomonadota; Gammaproteobacteria; Enterobacterales; Enterobacteriaceae
Description: partial 23S ribosomal RNA
Rfam family: Bacterial large subunit ribosomal RNA
Source: RNAcentral